AGUGUGGGUUCAUUUCUGGGCUCUCUAUUCUGUUCUACUGAUCUAUGUGUCUGUUUUUAUGCCAACACCAUAUUGCUUUGAUUACUGUGGCUUUGUAGUAUAGU
Balaenoptera musculus (blue whale) is the source of this 104-nucleotide long non-coding RNA. RefSeq lists it as uncharacterized. NCBI's taxonomy places the organism in Eukaryota, Metazoa, Chordata, Mammalia, Artiodactyla, Balaenopteridae. The record is from RefSeq and is a predicted model, not a curated record. The transcript is spliced from 3 exons.